RNAcentral lists this ribosomal RNA (513 nucleotides) under uncultured bacterium. RNAcentral's name for it is "partial 16S ribosomal RNA". It matches the Rfam family "Bacterial small subunit ribosomal RNA", at positions 28 to 507 of the family's 1533-position model. The record is from RNAcentral.
GACGAACGCUGGCGGCGUGCUUAACACAUGCAAGUCGAACGAAAAGAGGGAAAGAGCUUGCUCUUUCCGGAAUUGAGUGGCAAACGGGUGAGUAACACGUAAACAACCUGCCUUCAGGAUGGGGACAACAGACGGAAACGACUGCUAAUACCGAAUAAGUUCCAAGGGCCGCAUGGCCCAUGGAAGAAAAGGUGGCCUCUACCUGUAAGCUAUCGCCUGAAGAGGGGUUUGCGUCUGAUUAGCUGGUUGGAGGGGUAACGGCCCACCAAGGCGACGAUCAGGAGCCGGUCUGAGAGGAUGAACGGCCACACUGGAACUGAGACACGGUCCAGACUCCUACGGGAGGCAGCAGUGGGGAAUCUUCCGCAAUGGGCGAAAGCCUGACGGAGCAACGCCGCGUGAGUGAUGACGGCCUUCGGGUUGUAAAACUCUGUGAUCCGGGACGAAAAGGCAGAGUGCGAAGAACAAACUGCAUUGACGGUACCGGAAAAGCAAGCCACGGCUAACUACGUG